CGCCAGAGGGCGCUGUCCGGCCCCCGCCGGGACCCCGCCGAGCGGCAGAAUGACUUGGGAUAUAAAUAAACUAAAUAUAUCCUAUUUGAAUAACAAGUGGAAGACAGCUUGAUGAAUUGGACAAGGAAGCCCUUGGAACAGGAUGUAAAAGCAGCACUUUCCAUCCAGCCUGACAUCCUGCUUCCAGAUGCAGAAGGCUGAGCAGGCCACCAGGAUCACAUUUAAGUGGCUGUGGCCAUGAUGUUCCAAUUUGAAACCUGGACUCCACUAACUUCCAUACUCAUCCUUUGCUCUCAGCCCUCUCCCUCCCCUCUCUAGGUCCUCAGGAUGAUCUGAAAUAUAUAUUACACUUUUCUUCCUCACUAAAUGUCAACAUGUUGGAAAGCAGGGACCUUGAUAUAUUAAUCCUUAGGGCCUUGGGUUCUGCUGUAGUUAAGACGCAACAAAUGUUGGGUAAAAUGAAUUUUAAAAACAACUUGUUGCCGGGCAUGGUGGCUCAUGCCUGUAAUCCCAGCACUUUGGGAGGCCGAGGCGGGUGG
Molecule: long non-coding RNA, 539 nt
Organism: Chlorocebus sabaeus (green monkey)
Lineage: Eukaryota; Metazoa; Chordata; Mammalia; Primates; Cercopithecidae
Source: RefSeq, a predicted model, not a curated record